This 6664-nucleotide long non-coding RNA is filed under the name Marmota monax (woodchuck). The record is from RNAcentral. Lineage: Eukaryota; Metazoa; Chordata; Mammalia; Rodentia; Sciuridae.
CAGCAAUCAUCGGGAAAGGGCUGCCCAAGAAUGCCAGGGGGGUAUCACCUCUGUGGGUGCUCUCCACGCACCCUAGAGCACUAGUAAGACAUUCACAUCUGUUCACAUCUGCCUUUAUUUCUGCCUGCACCUGUCACUGAAGCUUUAUCAGUCUCCUCAUCCAAGUUCAAAUCCCACAAACACUAAAGUCUAACUCAGAACCAAGGAGGGAAAAAUCUUCCAAGAUAUGCUGUUCCAGAUCUAUAAAGAGGAAAAGUAUAGAAGGAGCUGAUAAUGAUACCAAGUUAACCAUGGGGUUUCAGAAAUAUGGUGAUAAAUGACAAAACUUGAACAAGGCCAACGGUGAAUAGUAUAAUCCACCAUUAGCAGGAGAGUCAGGUAUAGAAGGACGGCCUCAUUCUAUACAUUUCACUGUCUGACUUAACUAUAAAAAAAUGCUAGCCUAGGUAGCCACGGGCAUCUUCAAGGAGGGGGUAUGCAUGUGUUGGUCUGUAGGGAUCUGAUGGGUACAUAGGAGCAUGAAGAAUAUUCCACAAGCUUGAAAUGGCCGUCAUGGGACUCAGCAAACCAAAUGGAAGGACUAUUCAUCUAAAUGUACAUUUUGAGGCAUUUCUCAUCCCUGUCUCCAGUUCCCAGCCCAACAUGGGCAGUGAAUAAAUAACUGCUGAAAAUAACAUGCCAUGUUUAGAACAUCUCGACCCCUUCAGGCAGUGGCCAUGAACACUCCUGCCUUCUAUUAUCUAUUAAAAAAGAAAGGAAAAAAGAAAGAAAAUUCCAGGAUCAGUAAGAAUUAAUAAAAGUUGCUUUUUAUUCCAAAAACUCACUAGCUCAGAGUGAGGCUGAGCCUCAUCAGAAUGAGGCUGCUUUUUAUUCUUUUUCAAUACAAUUUUUCCUAUGUAUCUCACUCAUGUCUAUAAAGAUAUGACAGGGUAAGAGAGGGAAAGAACAAAAUGGUAAGCAAACCAGAUAUUUAGAUGUAAAUAGGAAACGCACACUUGUUCUGCAUUCAAGAGGUACAGGAUUUGACAACCAUUACCCUGAGAACAGCCCUCUUGUCGCAGAUUUCUUCUCUCAUCUGCCCAUUUCCAGCGACAGAGCCAUCAUGAAGAAGGAUGUUCAAAGACAUCACAUCUAUAACCUUUGCCAAAGGCACACACAAUCUUUGGAAGGAAGACUUUUAUUUUCCCUGUCACCUUUAAUGCUGGAUAUACCAGCUGAAAGCUGAAUUCCAAGUAUAAGGUCACUGCUCGGAGACUUCCUAAAGACACAGAGCUUGAAAAGAAAUCCUUUCUGAAUGUCACCCUCAUUUCAGCUCACAUUUUCCUGAUCUGACCCAGAUGCACUAAUUGGCCCUGCUGUCAACAGAAAAAAAUAAAAUAAAAUAAGACAUUAUUUGCCAACAUUCCCCCAUAGAGGCAAUGGUGCCCGUAUGAGUCCAGGUCUCAGUUCAGGGUAAUUAAUUGAGAUACACACAGGAAAUGUCUGAUGCACAAUUUUGUAGCUCACAAAGCCAUGUUCUUUCUCUGGCAAAGAAUCCUGUGUAUUUUGUCUUGCUUGAGGAUUAGAAAGAACCAUUUAGAGAUCCAAAGCAAGAGAGUCAGAGAGUGAGUGUUUACCUCUUUCUCAUACUUUGAGAAUUCAGCAGUUUCAUUCUUUUAUAAUCUACAUUCCAUAGCACCCCCCUCUUCCCUCUUGCACCACACAGAGCAAGGCCAAAUCUCUCAAGCUACUGACCACAUCCAUCUAAUAGACGAGUGUUAUUUUACAUGAGCAGAAUAUUAAGAGACAAUUACAAAUUAGCCAAGGGCAACUGAGGAUUUCACCAAAAUUAGAGGAUUUGGCAACAGCAAGCAUUCAUCCUUACACAAAAACUGGCUGAAAUUAAGUAUAUUCAGCCUCCUUUAGGACCCUUGAAUGCAUUGUCCUCCCAGCCCUGUGUGCUUUUCUGUGCUCAGGUGCUACCCACUGUGCAGCUCACAAACCAGUAGAUCAACAUCACCUGGAAGUUCAUUAGAAAUGGAAAUUCACUCGCCCCACCCCAAAUUAUCCAAUCAGAAUCUCCAGGAAAAAGAGCCUAGCAAUCAGUUUUCACUAAAUCCUCAAGUGAUUCGUACACAUAGUAGGGUUUGGAAAACCCUGCACUAUGCUGAUUUUUUUUUUUAAUCUGCCUAGGUUUGUACCCCCACCCUUGGGCCUUCAUUAUUUUAGGAAUUUGACAUGGAGAGUGAAAACAAAAACACUGGUUUUCAUCUCCAGUAUGUUCAACAUAAGUGGUACAAUUAUUUUUUUUCCCCUAGCCAGGAUUAUAUUAUACAGACUAGUUGCUUUGGGACCUGCCAGAAAGCUUCAACUCAUAGAGGGUGAGUAAACUCCAUUGACACAUUUCGUUAUUAGUCAGUGACUUAUCCCUGAUUUGUUUUGCUUCAGAGGAUCUCUGAAAACUACCUUUGUUCUCUGGAGCUCCGUUAUUUUGCCAUUCUGAUUUUAUCUCCUCUCCAAAGGGCAGCAAAAGAAGUCUCAGGUUAAAACCAAAGUGAGAGAAAGGGCAAAAAUGGUCAAUCCCCUUCCCAAACACGUUUAAUCCCACAGGUCCUCUGGCUUGAACCACUUGCCUACAUUAGAGUGCAAAGUGACACCUCUCCCACUAGUGACAGGAGCUUAGCAUCCUUCAAUCACCAUGCAAAGCUAGAUCCCUUCUGCCUAAAGAAAGCAGCUUUAAAUGGCAGCCCCACUGAGUAACAUCAUAGGCUGGUAAUAGCUCUGUUAGAUGCUAUGUAAAGCAUCUUGACUAAACUCUUCAUUACCAUUUGAAAACAUCAGAUGCUUUAGAAUUGCUUCAGGUCUUUUAAAAUCUCAUCUUCUACUCCUGGCAGGACUAAGAAAUUCAGUAAGCCAGAAUAGAGCCUCAGCCCCGAGAUUCAAAAUUGCUAUGCCAUGUAAUAGUAUUUCACAUCUCUCUUUAGACCACCCAAAGCUGAAUGGUCUAAUUGUUCAUGCUCAAUUUAUUUGUGCUCCUUGGUUGCGUUCACAUGGACAGCGUGGAAAAAGCAUUCCAAUUAGCAACUGGUAGUUACAGUAAUUGAGGAAUCAGCUUCAAGGUUAUGGUAUUGAUUCAUUUUGAUAAUAUUAUAUAAGCUGUGAAAUUCUCUGAUAGUUCAAUGGACACGGAGAGCUACUGAGGUAAUAGCACAUGCUUAAUAAUAUUUCACACAACACAACAGAUUUGAAAAUGCAUUUCAAAAUAUGUACUUUUCAGCUUCACCAUGAAUUAGCAUACAGGAAUUCCACGGACCCUGAUAUCAGCUCAGAAUUGCAGCAAGGAGUCAGAGAUAUUUUCCCUAACAUAACUUUAGAGUGAAUAAACCUGCCCUUUUUUCAUCAAAACUGGACCUAAAAUGUAGUCACUCGUGUCAGAACCCAGUCUGGAAUGCCAGGAUUAUCUCUGAGCUUCACAGAAAAACACAUAAAUGAAUGAAAACUAUGAGCUGCCUCUAGGUACUCAGCCCUAGAAACUGGCUUUGGCUAACAGAGAAGGCUUAGCCUAUAGCAGCUUCUUUUGUUUGUCCCUAAAUAAUUGAGGAUGCUAACCCCACAACCACUGGGCAGGAAUGCUGCAAAGGGAUCAGACUUGAAGGAAAAGCAGCUGAGAAUAUGCUAGAAGUCUCUAUGUGCAUAUCCUGCAAGUCCAUCUCAGCUAAGGCGCAGGGACUCAAAGGAGCAAAACCCAAAUGCAGUCUGGUUUGUGUUGGGUCAAGUCCAAAACGCUCAGUUCUCACUCAAGGCCUCUGAAUUUGGUCUCUGUAUCUGACUUCCACUGUUCUGCCGCAGGAAUGCUGGUUUCACCUCUCUCCUAGGGACAACCUGUGUACGUCUGCUGGUGCGCCAGCAGAGUUGGUUUGCAGUCUUCGCCCUUAUCUGAAGAACAUCACUCUCUCUAUAUAUGAGGGGUUUUUUCCUUGAAGGCAAGCUCUGCCCCAUCUCCUUCUCCAAGAAUAUUUCCUGGAGUCCCAAGCCUCAAUCCUUUCCUUGUCUCUCUGCUUCACCACUAGUGAGAUAAACUACUAGGCAUGUGGCAGGUCCCACACACUCAGUCACCUUGCUGUCCCCUGCAGAAGGCAUCCGUGAGUGCCUGCUCCAUUUGUUUCUAUUUUUGCUUCUUGGUAUUUAAAUUGCAUAUCAUGCAGAGGCUUUGCUGCUUCACUCACCAUUUUGAAGGUGACAACAUUCGAUUUCACUAAUUGCUUCAAAGUAAGAAUACAGGAGAGGGAGGAAGAACGAGGCAGGUGGUGUGUGAGAGGUGGUCCUCCUGGACCUCAGCAUUGUGCCUCAGUAGAGAGGAGAGCCCAGCUGUCUGAGUCAGUACAAACUUAAUAAAUCAGGAAUGGUAAUAAAUCAGCAGCGUUUGGGGAACUCCAAUAGAAACAUUAAUGCUUCUGAAUGCAACUUAUGCCUGGCCAACAAGAGCAGGGCCGCACUCAUGCAAAUGCAAGCUUAAAAAGUCUAUGAUUUGGAUGAAUUUGCUCUAAUUCAACAAAUACAUACAGAGCAUCUAUUGUAUGCCAGGAGCUGCUCCAGGUGCAGGUGGAGAGCAGCUUUCAAGGCAGACACUGUCCACCCACAUGUGCCAUACAUACUAGUACCAAGAGGAACAUACCACGUAGGUGGCAGAAACGUUCAGUUUGUUCUCUGCCUCUGCAAUUCAGGUUUUGAGAUAGUUUUUGCAGGAUGGGUAGGAGUUUGCCAACAGGUAACAGCAUGCACAGAAGCAUGACAUUUUAACAUUGUGUGAUUUAUUUAGGAAAUUACAUACAGGUUCAGAGGCAGGGGCAGAAUCUGCAGUGACCAGGACACUUUUCAUGGAAAAAUCUUAAAUUCCCACUAAACCAGAACACUUGGAAUCACAGUCAAGGGUUGACUAUAGAUUUAUGGUAGCUUUUCCUUCAACUUUGGAUGAAAUCCCUAAAUGAACUAAAAAUAAUCUUUGUCAACAUCCACUUUGGCUUCAGAAGCAUCAGAUAGUAAACUACCUACAUGAAAAGAGCAGAGAUGAUUCAUAGCUCCUCUUUCCUCUGGGUCACCCUGCCACCAGGCCUGCUUUAGAGUCCUGCACACAGUGAUGCAGCUGAUGCCCAAUUAUCUAAAAAUAGGCACAACCAAUGCAUAGCAAAGAAGGAAAAGGAAUAAUCUAACCCAUCCGCAGACCACACCCAUCAUACCAUGAUGGGGAAAUCUUCCUGGGGGGCCUCUAGCUGGGGAAGUUCCUCCCUACAUUUCUUCUGGCUGCUACCAGUGCAUCUUUAUGUCCUUGAUAAAACACAUCAGUUAUCCCAUUAAAUUCAUGUGCACAAUGGUGAUUACAAUGGUGCACCACCAUUCCAAUAGCUUUGUUUAUGGUGGUGUGCAGGAUAAAUAUUUUACUUUCUGAUUAGUGCUUGAGUUUUAUCAGCCAUCACUAAAACCGGGGCAGAGUGACUGGAGACACGAAUCGAGAUAUUUACCAGCGCAAGGAGAUGAUACGCAGAUGCUAAUGGAAGCUCUGGGGGUAGUUUUCCAGGCUGUUGAAUGUAAUUUCUCAUAUCCCAAAAUGGCUGUAAAUGGAAACACCCUGAAAAGAAUUCUCUAAUGGCUAUGUGUAUGCAGCAGGGGAUCAUUGCAAAGUCAAUGUGCUAUGAAAAGCGGAUAUUCACUCAUUCAUUCAUUUGGUAUGGCGUAUGCUAAGGAUGUGGAAUGAAACAUGGAAACUCUUUGCCCCUCUGUCUGCUCAUUUUGUCUCCCUGACCCCAAACUCCAUCUCUGAUGAGAUACCCUUCCUUCCAAGAUGGAGGCUAAAACUCCUCCUCACUACCCUCCCAAACUUCCCAGUGACUCAUGUCUCCUGAAGAAUCACAGACAUACAUCUAUUGGCAUAAUUAGCAAAUUAUUAACUCUUUGCUUACCUCCUUUAUAUAGUUCACUGAUUUAUAAUUGCUUAAGAGCAAAGAACAUGAUUAAUGCUUCAUUGUAUUUAAUUCAAAGUCUUUUUCAAAUGUGCCCUUCAUCACACACACACACACACACACACACACACACACACACAAUCACCAUCUGUUAAUCUAUCAUCUAUCAUGCCACUGAAGCUAGAUUUAAAGAUAGGUAGUUAGUGUAGUUAGGUAAAUUGGGUCUAAUAUCAAGUAAGGUAAAUAAAAUGGAGGCCAUUAUAGAGAAUGGAGUCCAGGAAACCAGAGCAGCACUUGGGGAAAUUGAAAUGUUAAUGUCCCCAAGGCCUGGGACCCAUUCUAAGGAACUGGUAAUGAAACAGCUCCCAGCAAACAGGGAAAUGCUGAUCAAAAGCUGCCCCAGGCCCUUCCUGCCCAGAUUACUACUUCAGCCCACCUAUCUCCCACCUUUUGGGCCUUCCCACCUGCAUUCUACCACUGAAAGAUAAAGGGAAACAAAAGACUUGAGUGUGGGAAAGCUGAAAGAAGACCUUAGCUAUAAAAGAGGGAAGACCUCCCCCUUCCACGGAUUCUACCUUUUGGGUCCCCUUCUUCUUCCUGGGAGAAGUCCUUUCUGCUGUUCUUUAAUAAAGCUUCUACUUUCCACUCUAAACUUGCCUCGGCGUGCUUCUCUGGUCUUAUUCUUCAACAUUUGGGGAAGCAAGGACUUGUCACCAGUAAACAGCGGU